GACGAACGCUGGCGGCGUGCUUAACACAUGCAAGUCGAACGGCAAGGCCCUGCUUUCGUGGUGUGCCCGAGUGGCGAACGCGUGAGUAACACGUGUGUAACCUGCUCUUGAUUUUGGGAUAACUUCAGGAAACUGGGGCUAAUACCGUAUAGCAGCUCCUGUUGCAUGGUGGGGAUUGGAAAGUCUCGGCUGUUGGGGAUGGAUUCGCGGCUUAUCAGCUUGUUGGUGGGGGAGUGGCUUACCAAGGCAGUGAAGGGUAGCCGGCCUGGGAGGGUGGACGGGGACCAUGGGACUAAGGUACGGACCAGAGGCGAACGGGAGACAGCAGGGGGGAAUAUUGCACAGUGAGCCGGAGCCUGAUGCGACAGCGCCGGGUUCGUGAUGCCGGUCUUCGGGUUGUGAACCGCAGUCGCCUAUGACGAAGCGGGAGUGACGGUAAUGAAUGAAGAAGCACCGGCUAACUACGUG
Molecule: ribosomal RNA, 468 nt
Filed under: uncultured bacterium
Lineage: Bacteria
Description: partial 16S ribosomal RNA
Rfam family: Bacterial small subunit ribosomal RNA
Source: RNAcentral